RNAcentral lists this transfer RNA (75 nucleotides) under Heterocephalus glaber (naked mole-rat). It matches the Rfam family "tRNA". From Rfam's summary of the family: Transfer RNA (tRNA) molecules are approximately 80 nucleotides in length. Their secondary structure includes four short double-helical elements and three loops (D, anti-codon, and T loops). The record is from Rfam by way of RNAcentral. Lineage: Eukaryota; Metazoa; Chordata; Mammalia; Rodentia; Bathyergidae.
UUUAAUGCGGCUCAGUAGUGGUAAAGUACUUGCCUAGCAAGCACAAGACCCUGGGUUCAACUCCCAGUAUUACAA